AUAGGGGGACCCAAGUGCACAGGCAUAGCGCCUGUGCUUUUCGGUACCCUAAGGCGGUNCCANAAUAAGGGCUGGGCAAGACCGGUGCCAGCCGCCGCGGUAAUACCGGCAGCCCAAGUGAUGGCCGAUCUUAUUGGGCCUAAAGCGUCCGUAGCUGGCCACGCAAGUCCAUCGGGAAAUCCACCUGCCCAACAGGNGGACGCCCGGUAGAAACUGCGUGGCUUGGGACCGGAAGGCGCGACGGGUACGUCCGGGGUAGGAGUGAAAUCCCGUAAUCCUGGACGGACCGCCGAUGGCGAAAGCACGUCGCGAGAACGGAUCCGACAGUGAGGGACGAAAGCCAGGGUCUCGAACCGGAUUAGAUACCCGGGUAGUCCUGGCCGUAAACAAUGUCUGCUAGGUGNGGCUCCCACUACGAGUGGGUGCUGUGCCGCAGGGAAGCCG
This 444-nucleotide ribosomal RNA is filed under the name Halorubrum sp. AJ62. RNAcentral describes it as "bacterial SSU rRNA". It matches the Rfam family "Archaeal small subunit ribosomal RNA", at positions 370 to 814 of the family's 1478-position model. The record is from RNAcentral. Lineage: Archaea; Methanobacteriati; Methanobacteriota; Halobacteria; Halobacteriales; Haloferacaceae.